Molecule: transfer RNA, 85 nt
Organism: Felis catus (domestic cat)
Lineage: Eukaryota; Metazoa; Chordata; Mammalia; Carnivora; Felidae
Rfam family: tRNA
About the family: Transfer RNA (tRNA) molecules are approximately 80 nucleotides in length.
Source: Rfam
GCCUGGGUAGCUCAGUCGGUUGAGCGUCUGACUUUGGCUCAGGUCAUGAUCUCACAGUUUGUGGGUUCGAGGCCCAUGUCAGGCU